Molecule: long non-coding RNA, 451 nt
Organism: Podarcis raffonei (Aeolian wall lizard)
Lineage: Eukaryota; Metazoa; Chordata; Lepidosauria; Squamata; Lacertidae
Exons: 3
Source: RefSeq, a predicted model, not a curated record
CCCCGCGCCUCAAAAAGAGAAAAGAAAAAUAUACCAUCCAAAUAUCAGUCAUAUAAUUUCCUUAUAUUAAAAGUAACUUUCAUUAUUGUUGCCCGUAAACAACAAAUGGCAUUUUUAUUACUGUAAUUAUAUCUCUCCUUUCCUCCAAGGAGCUGAAGGUGGUCUGCGGGGCUCCCACUCCGCCACUCCAUUUUAUCCUCACAACAAACCUCUGAGGCACUGAAGGCAGACAAGAAGUGAGUGGACAACCCAACGUGAAAAAUGGAGUGUGAACGGUUGCCAAGUCCGUUGCCAGCAUGGUCAGAUUCUGCACACGGAAUGCGACUGAGUUUCUUCUUUGCAUAGACAGCAAAAGGGAAGAAAAGGCAUGGGCUGCUCUCUGGGGUCUCCUGGGCUCUGCACUCUCCUGGUGUGAUUCAGACCAGACCCCUUUCUCCUCCUUCGAUUUGCA